Molecule: ribosomal RNA, 424 nt
Filed under: uncultured prokaryote
Description: bacterial SSU rRNA
Rfam family: Bacterial small subunit ribosomal RNA
Source: RNAcentral
UUAAGAAUCUUGCACAAUGGGCGCAAGCCUGAUGCAGCGACGCCGCGUGAAUGAUGAAGGCUUUCGGGUUGUAAAGUUCAGUAAGCAGGGAAGAAUAAGCAAGAGGUAAUAUUUCUUGUGAUGACGGUACCUGCCUAAAGCCCCGGCUAACUACGUGCCAGCAGCCGCGGUAAUACGUAUGGGGCGAGCGUUGUUCGGAAUUCUUGGGCGUAAAGGGCGUCUCGGCGGGGAUUUAAGUUAGGUGUGAAAGCUACGGGCUCAACCCGUAAACUGCAUCUAAAACUGGAUCUCUUGAGUUCGGGAGAGGAGAGCGGAAUUCCAGGUGUAGCGGUGAAAUGCGUAGAUAUCUGGAAGAACACCAGUGGCGAAGGCGGCUCUCUGGCCUAGAACUGACGCUGAAGCGCGAAAGCGUGGGGAGCGAACA